UACGUAGGGUGCAAGCGUUAAUCGGAAUUACUGGGCGUAAAGCGUGCGCAGGCGGUUAUGUAAGACAGUUGUGAAAUCCCCGGGCUCAACCUGGGAAUUGCGAUGGAGACUGCAAGGCUAGAAUCUGGCAGAGGGGGGUAGAAUUCCACGUGUAGCAGUGAAAUGCGUAGAGAUGUGGAGGAACACCGAUGGCGAAGGCAGCCCCCUGGGUCAAGAUUGACGCUCAUGCACGAAAGCGUGGGGAGCAAACAGG
Molecule: ribosomal RNA, 253 nt
Filed under: uncultured bacterium
Lineage: Bacteria
Description: partial 16S ribosomal RNA
Rfam family: Bacterial small subunit ribosomal RNA
Source: RNAcentral